GUAGGGAAUAUUAGUAAUGGGCGAAAGCCUGAACUAGCAACGCCGCGUGUGCGAAGAAGGCCUUCGGGUUGUAAAGCACUUUUUGAGAGGAUGAGGAAGGACGGUACUCUCAGAAUAAGUCUCGGCUAACUACGUGCCAGCAGCCGCGGUAACACGUAGGAGGCGAACGUUAUCCGGAUUUACUGGGCGUAAAGCGCGUGUAGGUGGUUUGGUAAGUAGGGCGUGAAAGCUCCUGGCUCAACUGGGAGAGGCCGUUCUAAACUGCCGAACUAGAGGAUGGUAGAGGGAGGUGGAAUUCCGGGUGUAGCGGUGGAAUGCGCAGAUAUCCGGAGGAACACCAGUGGCGAAAGCGGCCUCCUGGACCACUCCUGACACUCAGACGCGAAAGCUAGGGUAGCAAACGGGAUUAGAUACCCCUGUAGUCC
This 425-nucleotide ribosomal RNA is filed under the name uncultured bacterium. Its description in RNAcentral is "partial 16S ribosomal RNA". It matches the Rfam family "Bacterial small subunit ribosomal RNA", at positions 354 to 796 of the family's 1533-position model. The record is from RNAcentral.